RNAcentral lists this long non-coding RNA (936 nucleotides) under Prunus persica (peach). Its description in RNAcentral is "long non-coding RNA (PPER_LNC002206)". Lineage: Eukaryota; Viridiplantae; Streptophyta; Magnoliopsida; Rosales; Rosaceae. The record is from RNAcentral.
AAAAAAAAACAACUUGCAGGGAUUCGAUAUUAUACCUUUUCCCAACUUGAAGAUUGACUUGCUCGCUGAAAUCCGCCAACAGACGGGGAUGAGUAUCGUAGAACAAGGCAACGAAGUCUGCAAUAAUCACUCUUGUUCUUAAUUACUUUCAACACAAAAAUACCCACACUGAGACCCAGUUACGAGCACAAUGUGAAGCUUACCGUUAACCAAGCUCAGGAACUCCGAGUAUAUGGGGUGUUGGGGUUGAACUCGGUCUGGGUUAGCUCAUCCGAGUCGUUGGGGUCGGAGUUGGGACGGAUCUCGGUGAGGAUCCGAUUGUCUCUUCGACGAAGCCGCAGCAGAUGGUGAUUUUGAUUUUGUUGAAGGUUUUCUAGAUCUGGCACCCUCACACAGAUGAACCCACACAACUAUGCUCUAAAAGAUAGCCAAGGCUCUUGAGUUCUUGCUAGAGAUGACAAGGGGAGAAGGUGGAGAUGGAUGGGUUGAAAUUGAGUGCAAUAAAAAAGCGUCUUUUGUUGGCUCUGGACUCAAGGUUAGACGAAGGGGAUCCAAUAUGUUUUCAAAUGACACAUGCAGCGGAUGCACUAGGUUAUAUUGAAGCCGUUGCCAGUAUUUGACAUGUGUGGACUUGGGAUGUUGGUCAGCACGCUUCGCAUCCCAGCUACAGGUCAUGCCUUCGAAUCACCGCAGCGUCACCUCUGCAUCCCUGGUGUGUUCAUUUUUAUUUUUUAUUUAGUUUUUUUAUUUUUCUCUUUUACUUUUUUCUGUUUAUGUUUUAUAUCUUUUCUAUUUAUUUUUUAUUUUUCUCUCCUAAUUUACUUCUUUGGUUGUUUCCUUUGUUUAUUUUCCACACCUUGAGGACAAAGUGUGAUUUAAGUUUUGGGGGUGGGAAAGUAAAUUUUAUAUUUUUAAUUUUUUGAGUCUUGUUUAAAA